This 301-nucleotide ribosomal RNA is filed under the name uncultured bacterium. Its description in RNAcentral is "partial 16S ribosomal RNA". It matches the Rfam family "Bacterial small subunit ribosomal RNA", at positions 509 to 807 of the family's 1533-position model. The record is from RNAcentral.
CAGUAGCCGCGGUAAUACGUAGGGUGCGAGCGUUAAUCGGAAUUACUGGGCGUAAAGCGUGCGCAGGCGGUUCGUUAAGACAGAUGUGAAAUCCCCGGGCUUAACCUGGGAACUGCAUUUGUGACUGGCGAGCUAGAGUAUGGCAGAGGGGGGUAGAAUUCCACGUGUAGCUGUGAAAUGCGUAGAGAUGCGGAGGAAUACCGAUGGCGAAGGCAGCCCCCUGGGCCAAUACUGACGCUCAUGCACGAAAGCGUGGGGAGCAAACAGGAUUAGAUACCCGGGUAGUCCCUGUCUCUUAUAC